This 510-nucleotide ribosomal RNA is filed under the name Teloganodidae gen. C sp. LLPDC-2017. Its description in RNAcentral is "partial small subunit ribosomal RNA 16S RNA". It matches the Rfam family "Bacterial large subunit ribosomal RNA", at positions 1811 to 2606 of the family's 2925-position model. Lineage: Eukaryota; Metazoa; Arthropoda; Insecta; Ephemeroptera; Teloganodidae. The record is from RNAcentral.
AAACAUGGCCUUUCGAUAAAAUAAAAGGUCCAACCUGCCCACUGCAAGUUGAAGGGCCGCGGUAAUUUGACCGUGCAAAGGUAGCAUAAUCAUUAGUCUCUUAAUUAGGGGCUAGUAUGAACGGUUAGACGAAAUAGGAGCUGUCUCACAGUAAGUUUUGAAUUUUACUUUUUAGUGAAAAGGCUAAAAUAUUGUUGGAGGACGAGAAGACCCUAUAGAUCUUAAUAUAAGGACCUUUACUGGUUUGGUCAAAGUACGAGUAAUGUUAAUUAUAUUUGAUUGGGGUGAUUAAGAAAUAAAUAAACUUUUUUAAACAAGACAUUUGUACAUGGUUUAGGGAUCCAUUUUUAUGAUUAUAAGAUUAAGUUACCUUAGGGAUAACAGCAUAAUCUUUCUGGAGAGUUCUAAUCGAGAGAAAGGAUUGUGACCUCGAUGUUGGAUUAGAAUGGGGUUUAGGCGCAGAAGUUUAAAUUACCAAGUCUGUUCGACUUUUAAAAUUCUACGUGAUCU